RNAcentral lists this transfer RNA (73 nucleotides) under Sarcophilus harrisii (Tasmanian devil). Its description in RNAcentral is "tRNA-Lys (CTT) (tRNA-Lys-CTT-11-1)". It matches the Rfam family "tRNA". From Rfam's summary of the family: Transfer RNA (tRNA) molecules are approximately 80 nucleotides in length. Their secondary structure includes four short double-helical elements and three loops (D, anti-codon, and T loops). The record is from Rfam by way of RNAcentral. Lineage: Eukaryota; Metazoa; Chordata; Mammalia; Dasyuromorphia; Dasyuridae.
GCCCGGCUAGCUCAGUUGGUAGAGCAUGAGACUCUUAAUCUCAGGGUCGUGGGUUCAUGCCCCACAUUGGGCC